UGACGCUGGGAAAGAAAGAGCAACAAAAGAGGAGCCAUGAGUGACUCACUGCGUGGCUAGACAUGAAAUGUGGAAAACACUCACUCCCAUCACCAUCUUUCACGAAGAGGGGAUAAAAAGGAAACUUACGCUACUACUUGAAAAAUUAACUGCUUAAUAUUCAACUGAAUUUCUAGGCAGUAAAAUUAAUGAAGAGUGGGACAAUUUCAAUAGAAAACCCCAUGGAGCUGGCACUUGAGGAGGGAGGCUGAUCCAUUACCUAAUGGAGUGUGUCUGAGAAUAGAGGUUUACUCUUCAGAAAACUGAGGAGAGGAUGAUGAAUCCAAUUGAAGAGGA
Cavia porcellus (domestic guinea pig) is the source of this 336-nucleotide long non-coding RNA. RefSeq lists it as uncharacterized. The record is from RefSeq and is a predicted model, not a curated record. The transcript is spliced from 3 exons. Lineage: Eukaryota; Metazoa; Chordata; Mammalia; Rodentia; Caviidae.